AUUUAUCAGAGAAGCAGUGAUCUUGAAGCGAACACCAACACAUAUAUGACAUGGAGUGUGAUGGGAUUGUAUAUGUGUAGAUAUGUAUAUAUAAUUUUUUUUCCUCUGAAAACGUGUAUUACAACCGCUGACGUUGCCUUCUUAACGUCUACUAAAAAACAGUUGAUAGCCGCUUAUGGAACUAUUUCUGCAAUGGGGAUUAAUUGCUUCUUGUGAUUAUUUAAAAGAAAGUGCAGAGAAAUAUGCCAAACUUAUUUUUCAAGUCUUCUUUAAAAAAUUCAAGUAGAAAUCAACUUUCACUGUACUUGGUCAGAUUGCAAGCAACUUUCUAUCGCCUCCCUCCAAAAAGGAAAAAAAAAUCCCAAAUUGAGAAACAAUAAAUUUUUGAGUUUAUACUAUAUUGGGAAAAAUAAAGAACCCUAACUAGGUCGUUUAAAGAUACCCAGA
RNAcentral lists this unclassified non-coding RNA (447 nucleotides) under Hevea brasiliensis (rubber tree). The record is from RNAcentral. Lineage: Eukaryota; Viridiplantae; Streptophyta; Magnoliopsida; Malpighiales; Euphorbiaceae.